CAAUCCUAGGACCCUGAGAUCAUGAUUGAGCUGAAAGCAGAGCUAUGGAAGCAACUAGGAGAGAAACCAGGAACCCAGGAUGAGACCGCAGCAGGGGAGGGAACUCACCAAACCUGGAGUUCCUCAAUAAGGGCCCAUCUGUCCCUUACCUGGAACCUCCCCUACAGAAGGCACUGUGCCAAUCAUGUGCCCUCUGUUCUCCAGACACUCUCCAGCAGCAGCAGAGAUCUAAUUGAUUCCGCAGAACACAUGACGAAACUUCGAUGCAGAGAAUUGGAUGGCUUAUCUGAGGACAUCUAGAGACGUCAGCUCACACAGGAGAACAGAAGACCCUGGUACCAAAUAACAAUGCAGAGGACGAAACUGAUUGUUACCUAACAAGACCUGUAGCCAGGGGAACUCGCAUGCUCAGAGAGGAUGAUGGGGUUCUCAUGGUUCAGUGCUCUGUCUGCUAUUUCCCUGUGGUUCUCUGCUUGCCGGAUGCCUGAUUCAGUUGUACUGUCUUAAAACGGGCAACGCUCGGAGGCAUGGCUGGGUCAGGAAGAAGGGGCUUGCCAUUAGCCCUGAUUAUUUAAGCAAACUCUAAUUCUUCUUUCCCAGCACCCCAACU
Long non-coding RNA from Lontra canadensis (Northern American river otter), 610 nucleotides. RefSeq lists it as uncharacterized. The record is from RefSeq and is a predicted model, not a curated record. Lineage: Eukaryota; Metazoa; Chordata; Mammalia; Carnivora; Mustelidae. The transcript is spliced from 3 exons.